Molecule: ribosomal RNA, 253 nt
Filed under: uncultured bacterium
Lineage: Bacteria
Description: partial 16S ribosomal RNA
Rfam family: Bacterial small subunit ribosomal RNA
Source: RNAcentral
GACAGAGGUGCCAAGCGUUAGGCGGAAUCACUGGGCUUAAAGCGUGUGUAGGCGGAUCGUUAAGUACCUUGUGAAAUCCCACGGCUCAACCGUGGAACUGCUGGGUAUACUGGCGAUCUUGAGCCACCUAGGGGCGAGCGGAACAAGCGGUGGAGCGGUGAAAUGCGUAGAUAUCAAGUGGAACACCAGUGGCGAAGGCGAGUCCCUGGAAAACUCCUGACACUGAGGCACGAAAGCUAGGGGAGCAAACAGG